This 449-nucleotide ribosomal RNA is filed under the name uncultured bacterium. RNAcentral describes it as "bacterial SSU rRNA". It matches the Rfam family "Bacterial small subunit ribosomal RNA", at positions 29 to 524 of the family's 1533-position model. The record is from RNAcentral.
AACGAACGCUGGCGGCAUGCCUAACACAUGCAAGUCGAACGAAGUCUUCGGACUUAGUGGCGCACGGGUGCGUAACGCGUGGGAAUCUGCCCUUGGGUGCGGAAUAACUUCUCGAAAGGGAUGCUAAUACCGCAUAAUGUCGUAAGACCAAAGAUUUAUCGCCCAAGGAUGAGCCCGCGUAAGAUUAGCUAGUCGGUGGGUAAAAGCCUACCAAGGCGACGAUCUUUAGCUGGUCUGAGAGGAUGAUCAGCCACACUGGGACUGAGACACGGCCCAGACUCCUACGGGAGGCAGCAGUGGGGAAUAUUGGACAAUGGGCGAAAGCCUGAUCCAGCAAUGCCGCGUGAGUGAUGAAGGCCCUAGGGUUGUAAAGCUCUUUUACCAGGGAUGAUAAUGACAGUACCGGGAGAAUAAGCUCCGGCUAACUCCGUGCCAGCAGCCGCGGUAAU